AAAAAAAACAAACCCUGGUUUCCGUGCUCAAAGUUUGACCGUCCGUCUUAUUUGAAAAAAUUAUUUUUAUGAAAAAAAUUAAAAAGACAAGUCACGCAUAAAAUAUUAAUCAUGUUUUAUCAUCUAACAACAAUGAAAAUACAAAUUAUAAAAAAAAAUCAUAUAAGACGGACAGUCAAAGUUGGACACGGAAACUCAGGGUUUGCCUUUUU
MicroRNA precursor from Oryza rufipogon (brownbeard rice), 212 nucleotides. It matches the Rfam family "MIR812 microRNA precursor family". Lineage: Eukaryota; Viridiplantae; Streptophyta; Magnoliopsida; Poales; Poaceae. The record is from Rfam.